This 76-nucleotide transfer RNA is filed under the name Parachlamydia sp. AcF125. Its description in RNAcentral is "tRNA-Asp". It matches the Rfam family "tRNA". Rfam says of the family: Transfer RNA (tRNA) molecules are approximately 80 nucleotides in length. Their secondary structure includes four short double-helical elements and three loops (D, anti-codon, and T loops). Further hydrogen bonds mediate the characteristic L-shaped molecular structure. tRNAs have two regions of fundamental functional importance: the anti-codon, which is responsible for specific mRNA codon recognition, and the 3' end, to which the tRNAs corresponding amino acid is attached (by aminoacyl-tRNA synthetases). tRNAs cope with the degeneracy of the genetic code in two manners: having more than one tRNA (with a specific anti-codon) for a particular amino acid; and 'wobble' base-pairing, i.e. permitting non-standard base-pairing at the 3rd anti-codon position. Lineage: Bacteria; Pseudomonadati; Chlamydiota; Chlamydiia; Parachlamydiales; Parachlamydiaceae. The record is from RNAcentral.
UGCGGGAGUAGUUCAAUCGGUUAGAGCACCGGCUUGUCACGCCGGAAGUUGAGGGUUCGAGUCCCUUCUCUCGCGU